AUUGAACGCUGGCGGCAUGCCUUACACAUGCAAGUCGAACGGUAACAGGUCUUCGGAUGCUGACGAGUGGCGAACGGGUGAGUAAUACAUCGGAACGUGCCUAGUAGUGGGGGAUAACUACUCGAAAGAGUGGCUAAUACCGCAUGAGAUCUACGGAUGAAAGCAGGGGAUCGCAAGACCUUGUGCUACUAGAGCGGCCGAUGGCAGAUUAGGUAGUUGGUGGGAUAAAAGCUUACCAAGCCGACGAUCUGUAGCUGGUCUGAGAGGACGAUCAGCCACACUGGGACUGAGACACGGCCCAGACUCCUACGGGAGGCAGCAGUGGGGAAUUUUGGACAACGGGCGAAAGCCUGAUCCAGCAAUGCCGCGUGCAGGAUGAAGGCCUUCGGGUUGUAAACUGCUUUUGUACGGAACGAAAAGCCCCGGGUUAAUACCCUGGGGUCAUGACGGUACCGUAAGAAUAAGCACCGGCUAACUUCGUGCCAGCCGCCGCGGUAA
Molecule: ribosomal RNA, 498 nt
Filed under: uncultured bacterium
Lineage: Bacteria
Description: partial 16S ribosomal RNA
Rfam family: Bacterial small subunit ribosomal RNA
Source: RNAcentral